GAUGAACGCUGGCGGCGUGCCUAAUACAUGCAAGUCGAGCGAACAGACGAGGAGCUUGCUCCUCUGACGUUAGCGGCGGACGGGUGAGUAACACGUGGAUAACCUACCUAUAAGACUGGGAUAACUUCGGGAAACCGGAGCUAAUACCGGAUAAUAUAUUGAACCGCAUGGUUCAAUAGUGAAAGACGGUUUUGCUGCCACUUAUAGAUGGAUCCGCGCCGCAUUAGCUAGUUGGUAAGGUAACGGCUUACCAAGGCGACGAUGCGUAGCCGACCUGAGAGGGUGAUCGGCCACCCUGGAUCUGAGACACGGCCGAGACUCCGACGGGGGGACGCAGUAGGGAAUCUUCCGCAAUGGGCGAAAGCCUGACGGAGCAACGCCGCGUGAGUGAUGAAGUUCUUCGGAUCGUAAAACUCUGUUAUUAGGGAAGAACAAAUGUGUAAGUAACUAUGCACGUCUUGACGGUACCUAAUCAGAAAGCCACGGCUAACUACGUG
Molecule: ribosomal RNA, 497 nt
Filed under: uncultured bacterium
Lineage: Bacteria
Description: partial 16S ribosomal RNA
Rfam family: Bacterial small subunit ribosomal RNA
Source: RNAcentral